GCGUCCUUCGUCCAGUGGUAGGAUACCGGUCUCCAAAACCGACGACGGGAGUUCGAAUCUCUCAGGGCGUG
Molecule: transfer RNA, 71 nt
Filed under: Fibrella aestuarina BUZ 2
Lineage: Bacteria; Pseudomonadati; Bacteroidota; Cytophagia; Cytophagales; Spirosomataceae
Description: tRNA-Trp (CCA) (tRNA-Trp-CCA-2-1)
Rfam family: tRNA
About the family: Transfer RNA (tRNA) molecules are approximately 80 nucleotides in length.
Source: Rfam by way of RNAcentral